CGUGAGGAACCUGCCUUUUCAGAGGGGGACAACAGUUGGAAACGACUGCUAAUACCGCUAUAACGCAUAGGUAUCGCAUGGUAUCUGUGCCAAAGAUUUAUCGCUGAGAGAUGGCCUCGCGUCUGAUUAGCUAGUUGGUGAGGUAACGGCCCACCAAGGCGACGAUCAGUAGCCGGACUGAGAGGUUGGCCGGCCACAUUGGGACUGAGAUACGGCCCAGACUCCUACGGAAGGCAGCAG
Molecule: ribosomal RNA, 240 nt
Filed under: uncultured bacterium
Lineage: Bacteria
Description: partial 16S ribosomal RNA
Rfam family: Bacterial small subunit ribosomal RNA
Source: RNAcentral